AUACGGAGGGUGCAAGCGUUACUCGGAAUCACUGGGCGUAAAGCGCGCGCAGGCGGCUAUUUAAGUUGGAUGUGAAAGCCUACGGCUCAACCGUAGAACUGCAUCCAAAACUAUUUAGCUAGAGUGUGGGAGAGGAAGAUGGAAUUAGUCGUGUAGGGGUAAAAUCCGUAGAGAUAACUAGGAAUACCAAAAGCGAAGGCAAUCUUCUGGAACACUACUGACGCUGAGGCGUGAAAGCGUGGGGAGCAAACAGGAUUAGAUACCCCAGUAGUCC
This 274-nucleotide ribosomal RNA is filed under the name uncultured bacterium. RNAcentral's name for it is "partial 16S ribosomal RNA". It matches the Rfam family "Bacterial small subunit ribosomal RNA", at positions 523 to 796 of the family's 1533-position model. The record is from RNAcentral.